RNAcentral lists this ribosomal RNA (253 nucleotides) under uncultured bacterium. RNAcentral's name for it is "partial 16S ribosomal RNA". It matches the Rfam family "Bacterial small subunit ribosomal RNA", at positions 524 to 776 of the family's 1533-position model. The record is from RNAcentral.
UACGUAGGUGACAAGCGUUAUCCGGAAUUACUGGGCGUAAAGCGCACGCAGGCGGCUGCGUAAGUCUGACGUGAAAUCUCCCGGCUUAACCGUGAGCGGUCGUUGGAAACUAUGCGGCUUGAGGCGAUGAGAGGGGUGUGGAAUUCCCGGUGUAGUGGUGGAAUGCGUAGAUAUCGGGAGGAACAUCAGUGGCGAAAGCGGCACCCUGGCAUUAGCCUGACGCUCAGGUGCGAAAGCGUGGGGAGCGAACGGG